Molecule: long non-coding RNA, 1434 nt
Organism: Paramisgurnus dabryanus
Lineage: Eukaryota; Metazoa; Chordata; Actinopteri; Cypriniformes; Cobitidae
Source: RefSeq, a predicted model, not a curated record
UGAAAAAAAUGGACUUGGUGGGUCUUUGAAUUUAAAUAAAAUAAACAUGUAUAUGCAACACAAAAUAUUUAUAUUCCUUGUGUAAACAUAAUUUAAUUGAUUAUGAUGAAAAUGUUUUGUUUGAAUGUAAAAUGAACACAUUAUUCUCACAUUGAUUAAAAUUGAUUGAAUUGAAUACUUAAAGCAAUAAAAUUGAGUUUGCACACAAAAUGGCACCUCCUAAACAGAAGGUGGCAGUAACGCUCAAUAAAAAGGACGUCAAUCGCCAUAAAGGAAGAAUAAACAUCGUUUGUUUUGGGCGCCAAAAUGAAGACUCAGCAGCAGUCAGUCAGAAGAACUCUCUCAGACGGACACCACGUUAUUAAAGUAAGUUCUAUUAUUUAUUUAUGUUCACUUUAUACGUGAUACAUCUUCACUAGAUAGACAGUUUUUUUACAAUAUGUAGCCAUUGCAAUGACUUGUAGUAAAAAUGAGUUUGGAGGAUGUUGGUGGAGUAAGUUAACGUUACAGUCAGUCAGUCAGUCAGUCAGUCAGUCAGUCAGUAAGUGUAAGGCUCAUAAAGAAAAACAGCGUUUUAAAAAUGUCAGCUGUAUAACGUUAUUUCACGUUUGGUAGUUUUAUCCGAGUUGAAAACUGUCAGAUUUGAGUUGACUUUUGAGGCACUUUUUACUCAGUUGUUCUAUGGAAACGGUUCAGGACAAAUAAAACGCUAACCAAACGUUAUUCUGUCCAGAGUAACGUUAUCCAUGUAAGUAAUUUACCAGAUGAUAUCAACUGACUACAUUAAUAAUGACAUUGUAUGAAACAAACUGUCUGCUUAAUCAGAUGAACAGACCCGCGUCAGUUAUUCACGAGCAACACUUGAUUCAAUUAGAAAAAGCUUUUUUUAAAUGCCUCGCGUGACGUCUGGUAUAUUAACUGAAAAAAUUGCUUUGAAGUGGCCACACCUUAAAGCUGACGUUUUCAGAAGAGCACCUUGUUUUAAGAUCUCAUUUUGUCCAAAAUUGCGUCCUAUGACAGAUAUAAUACUUUUUUCAUUAUUGCUCUGUGUAUAUGUGACUUUAAUCAUUUGAGGUUGUGUGUUGAUUUCACCUCUGAAUAUUUCCUCUUAUAGGUCCAUCAUCCUUGCAUGCGCUACACACUCAAAAGCAUUGAUAAAUGCUGAAUUUAAAAGAAUCACUACUGUCUUAUGUUCCUGCGUGUCACCUGGACCUCUAAUCCAAAAACCUGAUGGAACUCUUCUAUCAGAAAGGAGGACAGCUAGCAAAAAGACUUCAAACAAUGAAUGAUCAAAUGACAGAAGGCAUGGAUGAAGUCAGCAUUAGUGUGGUCAUUUGAAGACACCACUGUUGGGAUUUGUGCUCUCAAACAACAUGCUUCUUGUGAUGAAGAAGAGGAUCUUUGUAUAGUCCUGGAAGGCAUGAAGGUGUUGCA